UAUACAUAACCAUUACUGACCCAUUUUUAAGUUUUAGGGCGAACUGUCGUUACUAAUAAAAACUGGCACUCAUUGUUCUUCGUCUUUGUUUCUCUCUUUAUCUCAGCAACCUGCACCAUUGGGUUUUAUAGAAUACAAUCGUGUUGUUGUGCCAAGUAGCUGUGCAGUUGGCUACUCAAAGGAUAAUCAAGUAAGCCCGGAUACCGUGUGUUAUGGAUCCGAUAACACUGAUUGAUUUUUGGAUUCGAGCCAUCAAUCUAGUUAGUUUGCUACUUAGAGAUGGAAAUGGGUGAGUUGGGACAUCAAUGGAAAUGGGUGAGUUAGGACAUCAAUGUUUAGAAAGCAGCAGUUGAUAUUUGAAAUGGUUAUCCCUUAAUACGCAGAAUGAAGACGAGAUUUUAUAUAUUUAUGGCGAAAAGAGGAUAUGCGAUGAAUCAUAUAGCCUUACGCAUCCUAGGAGAAGGAGACAAUGAUGGUGUUGGUGUAAUAAAUAUAGUACGUAGCACUACAUUCUAUAUCAUAGAAUGUUAUGUAACAAUCGUUUUCUAUUUUUUAUGUUUUCAGCUUAGCUAUUGGAUGCUGCAAACACAAGUGUUUCCCUUUGUUGUGACGAUCUUUGGCAGGCUCGGUCGGAUACCCCAAUCAGUUGUGAGUACGGUGUAUUGAGAGGAGUUAUUGUGGAGGAGAAGUAAUGAGCAUUAUGCCCUUUUGUUUUGUAGUGCACACCAUUUUGUUUGCUGAAAAACUGCUUAAGUACUCCAAGUCUCUGUAGAUGAGCAGCUUGAGAAUACUUCGCCUGAUGCACCCGUUUUACCUCCUGCUAUUGAAGCACUAAUUCACACAAAACACGUGGAUGAUUAUUACAUCAAGAAUGUUAGCAGCAACCCAUAAUUGGAAAAUAUAUUGUGUAAUGUUAACCAAUUGUUUUAAACAUGUGACCUGUGAUUCUAAGCAUAUGUUUAUUAUUUGUUUAGGAUUUUUCCUUUAAUUUGGGAUAUCUUUAAUUAGAAUUUGUGGAUUCAAUGGGUCAAAAGUUUCUUUUGAGUUUUGA
Long non-coding RNA from Erigeron canadensis, 1051 nucleotides. RefSeq lists it as uncharacterized. The record is from RefSeq and is a predicted model, not a curated record. NCBI's taxonomy places the organism in Eukaryota, Viridiplantae, Streptophyta, Magnoliopsida, Asterales, Asteraceae. The transcript is spliced from 2 exons.